GGUAAUUCCAGCUCCAAUAGCGUAUAUUAAAGUUGUUGCGGUUAAAAAGCUUGUAGUUGGAUCUCGGCGGGCAGGGGGCGGUCCGUUAUUUGACGCGACUGCCCCAUUUGCCCGUGUUUCUUCGGCAGAACUCCCGGGGUGCUCUUCGCCGAGUGUCCCGUUGGGGGCUGCCAGGUUUACUUUGAAAAAAUUAGAGUGCUCCAAGCAGGCUCGACACGCCUGAAUAUUCGUGCAUGGAAUAAUGGAAUAGGACGUCGUUCCUAUUUUGUUGGUUUUCGGGAAUCGACGUAAUGAUUAAUAGGGACAGCCGGGGGCAUUAGUAUUCAGACGACAGAGGUGAAAUUCUUGGACCGUCUGGCGACUCACUGCUGCGAAAGCGUUUGCCAAGUAUGUUUUCAUUAAUCAAGAACGAAAGUUAGAGGUUCGAAGGCGAUCAGAUACCGCCCUAGUUCUAACCAUAAACGAUGCCAGCUAGCGAUCCGCAGACGUUUUUAUUGUAGGCUCUGCAGGAAGCUUCCGGGAAACCAAAGCGUUUGGGUUCCGGGGGAAGUAUGGUUGCAAAGCUGAAACUUAAAGAAAUUGACGGAAGGGCACCACCAGGCGUGGAACUUGCGGCUUAAUUUGACUCAACACUGGAAAUCUCACCAGGCCCGGACACCGGAAGGAUUGACAGAUUGAGAGCUCUUUCUCGAUU
This 694-nucleotide ribosomal RNA is filed under the name Diacyclops galbinus. RNAcentral describes it as "SSU rRNA". It matches the Rfam family "Eukaryotic small subunit ribosomal RNA", at positions 578 to 1267 of the family's 1831-position model. The record is from RNAcentral. Lineage: Eukaryota; Metazoa; Arthropoda; Copepoda; Cyclopoida; Cyclopidae.